CCAGGGCCUAAGGAAUUUUUCAGGUUAUGAGAGAUCCUGUUGGCUGCCCCUGCUUACUAAGGUCCUGCUGACCAGCUUCCUCAGUGAAGCCCUCUUGGUGAUUCAUCUUGCUUCUCUCGCUUUUAUCUGGAACUUGCUGGCUCUAAAGAAGAGGAAUCCAGAAACAUGUAGUUGCAGUGGCUCCACGAUGCCAGGGUGAAUUUCCUCCCCUACGACUCCACUGUUACCAACUCAGACUUCCAUGCUCUGCUUUGGAUAUCUCUGGAUGAAAAAGAUAGUCAGAAGUGAUCUGCACUUGAAUGGUCAUGAACCUGGUCAGAAGAAGAGAGGACCUCCAGAUCUGGAGGGCACACUGAGGUUGGCUGGUCCAAACUUCCACCUAAAAUAGACUGCCAUAUGGUUUCCACCUGAAGGUUUCUCAUGAGGUGGAGUUUUCCAACUCACUGUUGCAUAAAUUUGUAUUAUAAAAUCCUUUUUAA
Molecule: long non-coding RNA, 479 nt
Organism: Pteropus alecto (black flying fox)
Lineage: Eukaryota; Metazoa; Chordata; Mammalia; Chiroptera; Pteropodidae
Exons: 5
Source: RefSeq, a predicted model, not a curated record